RNAcentral lists this ribosomal RNA (433 nucleotides) under uncultured bacterium. RNAcentral describes it as "partial 16S ribosomal RNA". It matches the Rfam family "Bacterial small subunit ribosomal RNA", at positions 29 to 507 of the family's 1533-position model. The record is from RNAcentral.
AACGAACGCUGGCGGCAUGCCUAACACAUGCAAGUCGAACGAGACCUUCGGGUCUAGUGGCGCACGGGUGCGUCACGCGUGGGAACCUGCCCUUAGGUUCGGAAUACCUCCCCGACAGGGGUGCUAAUACCGGAUAAUGUCUUCGGACCAAAGAUUUAUCGCCUUUGGAUGGGCCCGCGUUGGAUUAGCUCGUUGGUAGGGUAAAAGCCUACCAAGGCGACGAUCCAUAGCUGGUCUGAGAGGAUGAUCAGCCACACUGGGACUGAGACACGGCCCAGACUCCUACGGGAGGCAGCAGUGGGGAAUAUUGGACAAUGGGCGAAAGCAUGAUCCAGCAAUGCCGCGUGAGUGAUGAAGGCCUUAGGGUUGUAAAGCUCUUUUACCCGGGAUGAUAAUGACAGUACCGGGAGAAUAAGCUCCGGCUAACUCCGUG